GAAGCGGGAAGAGCUCAAAUUUGAAAGCUGGCGUCUUCGGCGUCCGCGUUGUAAUCUCGAGACGUGUUUUUCCGUGCGGCUCUAUGGACAAGUCCCUUGGAACAGGGCAUCGUAGAGGGUGAAAAUCCCGUACUUGCCAUGGAAGUACCGUGCUUUGUGAUACACGCUCCAAGAGUCGAGUAGUUUGGGAUUGCUGCUCAAAGUGGGUGGUAGACUCCAUCUAAAGCUAAAUAUCGGGGAGAGACCGAUAGCGAACAAGUACCGUGAGGGAAAGAUGAAAAGCACUUUGGAAAGAGAGUUAAAAGUACGUGAAAUUGUCGAAAGGGAAGCACUUGAAGUCAGCCAUGCUGCUUGAGACUCAGCCUGGCUUUUGCUUGGUGUAUUUCUCGGUAGCAAGCCAGCAUUGGUUUGUGUCGUCGGAGAAGCGUAUGGGGAAUGUGGCAUCCUCGGAUGUGUUAUAGCCCUGUGCAGGAUACGAC
This 479-nucleotide ribosomal RNA is filed under the name Malassezia restricta. RNAcentral describes it as "eukaryotic LSU rRNA". It matches the Rfam family "Eukaryotic large subunit ribosomal RNA", at positions 95 to 577 of the family's 3401-position model. Lineage: Eukaryota; Fungi; Basidiomycota; Malasseziomycetes; Malasseziales; Malasseziaceae. The record is from RNAcentral.